UUGUCGCGACCGCGUUGCACCCGGUGCAC
RNAcentral lists this small RNA (29 nucleotides) under Bombyx mori (domestic silkworm). RNAcentral describes it as "ovarian small RNA-38108". The record is from RNAcentral. Lineage: Eukaryota; Metazoa; Arthropoda; Insecta; Lepidoptera; Bombycidae.